Molecule: ribosomal RNA, 750 nt
Filed under: bacterium
Lineage: Bacteria
Description: bacterial SSU rRNA
Rfam family: Bacterial small subunit ribosomal RNA
Source: RNAcentral
CCUAAACACAUGCAAGUCGAACGGCAGCACAGUAAGAGCUUGCUCUUAUGGGUGGCGAGUGGCGGACGGGUGAGGAAUACAUCGGAAUCUACCUUUUCGUGGGGGAUAACGUAGGGAAACUUACGCUAAUACCGCAUACGACCUUCGGGUGAAAGCAGGGGACCUUCGGGCCUUGCGCGGAUAGAUGAGCCGAUGUCGGAUUAGCUAGUUGGCGGGGUAAAGGCCCACCAAGGCGACGAUCCGUAGCUGGUCUGAGAGGAUGAUCAGCCACACUGGAACUGAGACACGGUCCAGACUCCUACGGGAGGCAGCAGUGGGGAAUAUUGGACAAUGGGCGCAAGCCUGAUCCAGCCAUACCGCGUGGGUGAAGAAGGCCUUCGGGUUGUAAAGCCCUUUUGUUGGGAAAGAAAAGCAGUCGGCUAAUACCCGGUUGUUCUGACGGUACCCAAAGAAUAAGCACCGGCUAACUUCGUGCCAGCAGCCGCGGUAAUACGAAGGGUGCAAGCGUUACUCGGAAUUACUGGGCGUAAAGCGUGCGUAGGUGGUUGUUUAAGUCUGUUGUGAAAGCCCUGGGCUCAACCUGGGAAUUGCAGUGGAUACUGGGCGACUAGAGUGUGGUAGAGGGUAGUGGAAUUCCCGGUGUAGCAGUGAAAUGCGUAGAGAUCGGGAGGAACAUCCAUGGCGAAGGCAGCUACCUGGACCAACACUGACACUGAGGCACGAAAGCGUGGGGAGCAAACAGGAUAAACC